Molecule: ribosomal RNA, 319 nt
Filed under: uncultured eukaryote
Lineage: Eukaryota
Description: partial 18S ribosomal RNA
Rfam family: Eukaryotic small subunit ribosomal RNA
Source: RNAcentral
CCCUUAGAUGAUUUGGGCUGCACGCGCGCUACACUGACCCUAACAAUGAGCAACUGUCUGGCCUGAGAUGGCUGGGUGGCCUUUUCAACCCAUGUCAUGAUUGGGCUAGAUUUUUGUAAGUCUUGAUCUCUAACGAGGAAUCCCUAGUAUGCGUGAAUCAUCAAUCCAUGCAGAUUAUGUCCCUGCCCUUUGUACACACCGCCCGUCGCUCCUACUGAUUGGGUGAUCCGGUGAGCUGUUCGGCCAUAGCAAUGUUUCUUGAGCAGGGCAAUGAAUGUUUCGCAAACCUUGCCACUUAGAGGAAGGAGAAGUCGUAACA